This 253-nucleotide ribosomal RNA is filed under the name uncultured bacterium. RNAcentral's name for it is "partial 16S ribosomal RNA". It matches the Rfam family "Bacterial small subunit ribosomal RNA", at positions 524 to 776 of the family's 1533-position model. The record is from RNAcentral.
UACGGAGGGUGCGAGCGUUGUCCGGAAUCACUGGGCGUAAAGGGCGCGUAGGUGGCGACUCAAGUCAACGGUGAAAGCUCGACGCUCAACGUCGAGUCGGCCGUCGAAACUGGGACGCUUGAGCACUGUAGAGGCAGAUGGAAUUCCGGGUGUAGCGGUGGAAUGCGUAGAGAUCCGGAGGAACACCGAAGGCGAAGGCAGUGUCCUGGCUGGUGACUGACGCUGAGGUGCGAAAGCUAGGGGAGCGAACGGG